This 429-nucleotide ribosomal RNA is filed under the name Gemmatimonadota bacterium. RNAcentral's name for it is "Gemmatimonadetes bacterium partial 16S ribosomal RNA". It matches the Rfam family "Bacterial small subunit ribosomal RNA", at positions 355 to 776 of the family's 1533-position model. Lineage: Bacteria; Pseudomonadati; Gemmatimonadota. The record is from RNAcentral.
UAGGGAAUCUUCGGCAAUGGACGAAAGUCUGACCGAGCAACGCCGCGUGAGUGAAGAAGGUUUUCGGAUCGUAAAACUCUGUUGUUAGAGAAGAACAAGGACGUUAGUAACUGAACGUCCCCUGACGGUAUCUAACCAGAAAGCCACGGCUAACUACGUGCCAGCAGCCGCGGUAAUACGUAGGUGGCAAGCGUUGUCCGGAUUUAUUGGGCGUAAAGCGAGCGCAGGCGGUUUCUUAAGUCUGAUGUGAAAGCCCCCGGCUCAACCGGGGAGGGUCAUUGGAAACUGGGAGACUUGAGUGCAGAAGAGGAGAGUGGAAUUCCAUGUGUAGCGGUGAAAUGCGUAGAUGUAUGGAGGAACACCAGUGGCGAAGGCGGCUCUCUGGUCUGUAACUGACGCUGAGGAUCGAAAGCGUGGGGAGCAAACAGG